UGCGUAGAUAUCGGGAGGAACACCAGUGGCGAAGGCGGCCUCCUGGGCUGCUCCUGACGCUGAAGGCGAAAGCUAGGGGAGCGAACGGGAUUAGAAACCCCGGUUAGUCCUAGCCGUAAACGAUGGAUGCUGGGUCUGGGGGGUAUAGAUUCCCUCCGUGCCGAAGCUAACGCGUUAAGCAUCCCGCCUGGGGACUACGGCCGCAAGGCUAAAACUCAAACGAAUUGACGGGUCCCCGCACAAGCAGCGGAGCGUGUGGUUUAAUUCGAUGCUACACGAAGAACCUUACCUGGGUUUGACAUGCAAGUAGUAGUGAAGCGAAAGCGGAACGACCNUUCGGGGAGCUUGCACAGGUGCUGCAUGGCUGUCGUCAGCUCGUGCCGUGAGGUGUCGGGUUAAGUCCCGUAACGAGCGCAACCCUUGCCCUUAGUUAUACGUGUCUAAGGGGACUGCCCGGGACAACUGGGAGCGCCGCUGGGGAUGACGUCAAGUCAGCAUGGCCUUUAUAUCCAGGGCGACACACACGCUACAAUGGCCGGUACAAUGGGUUGCCAAGCCGUGAGGCGGAGCCAAUCCCGCAAAGCCGGUCUAAGUUCGGAUUGUGGGCUGCAACUCGCCCACAUGAAGCUGGAGUUGCUAGUAACCGCGCGUCAGCCAUCUCGCUCUGAUACGUUCCCGGGGAUUGUACACACCGCCCGUCACGUC
RNAcentral lists this ribosomal RNA (705 nucleotides) under uncultured organism. Its description in RNAcentral is "bacterial SSU rRNA". It matches the Rfam family "Bacterial small subunit ribosomal RNA", at positions 687 to 1403 of the family's 1533-position model. The record is from RNAcentral.